Molecule: non-coding RNA, 1706 nt
Organism: Elaeis guineensis (African oil palm)
Lineage: Eukaryota; Viridiplantae; Streptophyta; Magnoliopsida; Arecales; Arecaceae
Source: RefSeq, a predicted model, not a curated record
UUGAGGUAUCUUUUAAAUGCCCAUAUGUCUUAGCAAGGAUGUAGCAAAAACACAUGAAAAUAAUUUGGUAUGCCUUAGUAAAGUUUAGGAGUGUUUUGUGUUCAGAUUGACCUAUCAAAAUCAUUGUUCUGAACAAAUUCUUAUUUCAAGUUGUAUAAGCUAGGUCAGAUGGUGGUACAAAGCUGAACAUAAACCUAGCAGUAUGUGUGAGUAUUCAUGUGGAUAUGUGCUUGGUUCUAUAUUGGUUGUAUGCUGGGGAGAUCUUGAGUACUUAUACAAGAAGUAAUCUUGAUUAUACCUUUUAUCUAGCCCAUUUGAGUGAGGUCCUAGGACAAAUAAUAUUAGAGCAGACCUGAUCUAUGACUUACAUAAAUUAGGGGACAUUGCAACAUGUGCCCUUCUAGAUCUUAGGUUUGUGAUUGGAUUUGGACCUUCAGCUUGAUGAGGAUGCGAAAGCUUAAAGGCGGGAGCAUGUAAGAAGUCGUGCGGGCUUGUGUUUAGUCCCAUAUUGGUUGUACGCUAGAGAUAUCUUGGAUACUGAUACAGGGUCAAGGAAUCCAAUUAAUGACUUUUGGCUAGCUUUUUCAAGUGAGGUCCUGGGUUAUUACCAUUUAAUUCCAUGGUCUAAGUGAAUUGUAGGACGUCCACCUAUAACUUUGUUUAGGAAAUUCUGAGUUUAUUGUGCUGCUUCCUAGUAUUGGUAUUUCUUAUAAAAAUUCAUAUGUGGUAGCGAGUGUUGAACCAAUCUUGAGCCAGUUUUGGCAGAUCUUGAGGUUGGAGCAAAUUAAUGAUUUUAAAGAUAAAUUGGUUUGGGCUAAUUUAGAACAUUCUUCUGGCUUACCCAUGCUGGUUACCUUUGGAACCUGCUAUUCCAUUGUCGUGAUAAUUGGAAUAAUAAAUUAAAUGGUAAUUUUAUGUAUGUAUGUGCUAGUGUAUUUCAAAAAGUAACAAAAAGGUAAGUGCAUGGUUGUUGUCAUCUUUAUGGUGCUUUUGCAUAUGUACAAUGUUUGUUCUGUGUUAUUCCCUUUGAGAUGCUCCUACAGCCUAGAGAGAUCUCAGUUCCCUGAGAUUUAUCCUGAAUGCAUAAGCUGGAAAGACAGCUGACAUGCAUCACUUUCUCCAAUGAAUGGUGCCACAAAUUGUCAAUUAUGGUUUGGCCUUUUUUCUAGAAUAAGUAACUAGACUUCUCAUAAGGAAAUUAUUCAUGCCUUAUUCUUGCUCAUAUGUUGUGUUAGUGAAAGCAUUUAUGCUUAUCAGAGCAUGUUUUGAUCUUGUUGCUGUCUAGUGUUCUAAACAAAUCAACAGAUGGAUGCUUUGCUUUCAAACAAGUCCUUGAGCUCCAGAAGCUACUAUGCAUAAAUUGGCGAAAGCACUCAUUCUUGUUGGAGUGGUGCCAUUAGAAACUGCUUUAAUUGUGGUAGGAGGAUUAAAAGCAGGUUCAACUUUGACAUCGUGAGUUAUUCCUUGGGAGCUGUCACUCUAGGGUAUCAGAGUGGCACUUUGGCAUGUUCAGCUGCUCCUGCCAACCACAACCUUUCUGAGGUUCUCUUUUAGAGAGUUGAAUUUUAUUUGUAUAUGAGUAUAUGAAACAGGGCAUUAGGUGAGCAGCACACAGUGGGAUAAACAAUUCAUCUGCCCUGAGAUUUUUCAGUUGCUAUAUUUGUUAUAAUUUUCACAUAUAUAUACUAACCAACCUAACUCAACAA